UCAUUUUGAAAAUUGUGGUCCGUGAUCAUGAAUUGUAAUAUUCAAAAUGCAUUGCUAACAAAAUUGCAUAUGUUAGUUUAUUGGAAAGAACAUUACAAAGGGUGAAAAUCCCAUUUGUCAUGUGUAUGUUUUGUGUACAGUGUGCAUUUCAUGAUUCACAUUCAUUGACAAUUGAAUGUAAAGCGAAUGGUAAACUUCAUUUAAACAUAAAUAUGUUGUUGAAAACUUAUAUCGAACAAAUACCAUGAGGGAAAUGUGAAAAGGAUUUUGAAAAGAAAAUUAAAAGAGCUUACAAUUGCUGGAUUGAUAAGCAAACAAAACACACAUGUGUAUGUGCAAGAUUGUUGUCAUGUUGUGCAAUUCAUGCAAAUUAACAUUGCUUUGGUUUUUGUGUAAUUUUGUCAGCUUUGGAAUUGAGAAUGAUUUUUUUGAGUGUGAAUGGAUUGUUGUUUGUUAACAAAGGAAUGCACUUUCAAAAUCAUUGUUUGAUUUGUCAAUCAAGUUUGUGGCGUGUGUUGUGUGUCAAAUUUAAUUAUAUAAUUCACAAAACACAUGAAGUUUGAGCUAUUAAGGCAAUUCUUGUUUUGUUUGACCCGUCUUGAA
Molecule: ribosomal RNA, 603 nt
Filed under: Coolia monotis
Lineage: Eukaryota; Dinophyceae; Peridiniales; Ostreopsidaceae
Description: eukaryotic LSU rRNA
Rfam family: Eukaryotic large subunit ribosomal RNA
Source: RNAcentral